RNAcentral lists this ribosomal RNA (162 nucleotides) under uncultured Methanoculleus sp. RNAcentral's name for it is "partial 16S ribosomal RNA". It matches the Rfam family "Archaeal small subunit ribosomal RNA", at positions 1181 to 1331 of the family's 1478-position model. The record is from RNAcentral. Lineage: Archaea; Methanobacteriati; Methanobacteriota; Methanomicrobia; Methanomicrobiales; Methanomicrobiaceae.
CUACAAUGGGUGGGACAAUGGGUAUCGACACCGAAAGGUGAAAGGCAAAUCUCCUAAACCCAUCCGUAGUUCGGAUUGUGGGCUGCAACUCGCCCACAUGAAGCUGGAAUCCGUAGUAAUCGCGUUUCAACAGAACGCGGUGAAUACGUCCCUCGGCUCCUU